AUUGAACGCUGGCGGAAUGCUUUACACAUGCAAGUCGAACGGCAGCACGGGGGCAACCCUGGUGGCGAGUGGCGAACGGGUGAGUAAUACAUCGGAACGUGCCCAGUCGUGGGGGAUAACGUAGCGAAAGCUACGCUAAUACCGCAUACGAUCUACGGAUGAAAGCGGGGGAUCGCAAGACCUCGCGCGAUUGGAGCGGCCGAUGGCAGAUCAGGUAGUUGGUGGGGUAAAGGCUCACCAAGCCUUCGAUCUGUAGCUGGUCUGAGAGGACGACCAGCCACACUGGGACUGAGACACGGCCCAGACUCCUACGGGAGGCAGCAGUGGGGAAUUUUGGACAAUGGGCGAAAGCCUGAUCCAGCCAUUCCGCGUGCAGGAUGAAGGCCCUCGGGUUGUAAACUGCUUUUGUACGGAACGAAACGGCCUUUUCUAAUACAGAGGGCUAAUGACGGUACCGUAAGAAUAAGCACCGGCUAACUACGUGCCAGCAGCCGCGGUAAAGUA
This 504-nucleotide ribosomal RNA is filed under the name uncultured bacterium. RNAcentral's name for it is "bacterial SSU rRNA". It matches the Rfam family "Bacterial small subunit ribosomal RNA", at positions 30 to 527 of the family's 1533-position model. The record is from RNAcentral.